AAGAGGGGAGACAGGGAGAGGGGAGAGCCAUGGAAAGACCACCGGCUCACCAAUUCGACUCAAUAGUACUCACCUUGAAAAAAAAAAAAAAACCAAACCAUGUAACUAAAGCAAAGUAACUCCCUCUCCCUAGUCACAUCCGCUCUGUUUCUCAAGGAGGGGAAAUACCUGUGGAUUUUUUGUUGGUGGUGGUGGUGAAAAACAAAAAUACAAAAACAAAAAAACAAAACAAAACAGGAAUUGGGAUAAAACAGAACAGCUGUGUAGAGAAGAUGCGCGCCUGCGAACGGACGCACCGACAAUGACCGAGGUUCAAGAACAAGACUUUUCCCCUUGGCGGAAAUACAUAUUUUAACACUUUAACGUCACUUUGGAAAAGAUCACACGUUCAGUCCAAGUUUGAAGUUGUUGGUUUUUUUUUCCCCCAUUCAAGAAGGAUGAGUGGAGGUCGCUUUGAGUUCGAUGACGGCGGCGCGUACUGCGGCGGCUGGGAGGGCGGUAAAGCGCACGGCCACGGCAUCUGCACCGGUCCGAAGGGUCAAGGCGAGUUCUCCGGCUCGUGGAAUUACGGUUUCGAGGUGGUCGGGGUGUACACCUGGCCCAGCGGGAACACGUACGAAGGCUACUGGGCUCAAGGCAAGCGCCACGGCCUGGGCAUCGAAACCAAAGGCCACUGGGUGUACAAAGGCGAGUGGACGCACGGCUUCAAAGGCAGGUACGGCACGCGCAUGAGCCUCGGCAGCGGCGCCAAAUACGAGGGCACGUGGAAUAACGGCCUGCAGGACGGCUACGGUACCGAGACCUACGCGGAUGGCGGUACCUUCCAAGGGCAGUUUACUGGUGGAAUGCGACAUGGCUAUGGUGUGCGUCAGAGUGUUCCAUAUGGUAUGGCCGCUGUAGUGCGCUCUCCUUUGCGUAACUCACUAACUUCACUGCGUAGCGAGCACAGCAAUGGCACGUUGCUGCAGCAGGAUGUUCCCAUCAUCACCACCACAAAUGCCUCAGGCAAAGAGACUGUUGUCACCUUGUCGAUGCCUAUGGGGCCUUCACGUGGUGGCUUUGCUCUCAGCCUACAUGGUGACCCUGAACUUGCCAAGCCAAAGAAGAGGGGCCUUUUCCGUCGCAGCUCGCUGCUGGGCAAGCUGACCAAGUCGGAAUCCCGCACAUCCCUCUCCAGCCAGAAGAGUAAGAUCAGCUUCCUGCGCAGCGAGUCAGCCCUCAGUUCAGCAACUAGUGAUGCCAACUCCACCAUCAGCAUGGGUGACAGUGAAGUAGAGGGCGAGGGUCAUGAGUUCCCACCUGUCGAGGCUGACAUUGAUGCCACCACCACUGAGGUUUACAUGGGUGAGUGGAAGAAUGAUAAGCGGUCAGGCUAUGGUAUCAGUGAGCGCUCCAGUGGCCUCAAGUAUGAGGGCGAAUGGCUGGAUAACCAACGGCAUGGCUAUGGCUGCACUACAUUUGCUGAGGGCGGUAGAGAAGAGGGCAAGUAUGUACACAACGUGCUGGUGAAGGCUGUGAGGAAGAAGGUGAUUCAACUGAAGGGCACCAAGGUCAAACAGAAAGUGGAAAGGAGUGUUGAGGGAGCGCAGAGGGCCGCUGCCAUUGCCAAACAGAAAGCAGAAAUUGCCAGCUCAAGAACUUCCCAUGCCAAGAGCAAAGGAGAGGCUGCUGAACAAGCCGCUCAAGCUUCCAACAACGAGUCCAGCAUUGCACGUGUAGUGGCCAGAGAACUCUCACCUUCAUUCCAUCAGCCAGGUCCAGAAUACCUAAAGAAGCGAGCAUUACAAGAAAUUGCAGAGAGCAAUGAGAACGCUGAUACAGGCAUGCAUGAGUCACUGCUAUCUGAGGAGUUCAUGCCUCCAGAUACACCCUUUUUGCAUGAAAUGGACAGCCUGAAGCCCAACAUUAGCCCAGCACGCACACCAUCACCCGGACCUACCAUUGCUGCUGCCCUAGAUCCUAAUCUUCUUGGUCCUGGGAGCUGGAAUAGUGGGGACAGAAGUAGUCGAGGUGGCAGUAGUGGUAGCAGAGGGGGAAGCCGCCCAGGGAGCAGGCAGAGCAGUCGUCCUUCAACUCCUUCAACAUCACCACCCAAUUCAGCUCUGGAGCCAGCUUCAGCACCAAGCAUGGUGGAAUCUGCUGUCCCCAGCACAAAGGGUCCCAGCCGCCAAAACAGCAAAACUGAGCAGGGCUCUGACCUUGAGAUUAAGCCUCUACAGAAGAUGGACUUAGAGUCCAAAGCAGUAGAACCUGCUCCAGCCCCAGUAAAGACUAGCCUCAUCUCCUAUACUGAUGAAGAAGAACAAUCUCCUCCUGUCUCCAAAGUCUCCUCCAAAGCAGUGACCCCAGAACAAAAAGCUCCCGAGCAGAGAGCCGAGGCCAGGGAACCUGCACCAGAGCAUCCAGCAUCAAUAACCGAGAGUAAGCUGGAAGCCAAGGAAGACAUAAAAGUGGCUAACAAAGCUGAAGCUAAGCAAUCAGUGAAACAAGCACCUAGUCCAGCUCCAAGACGAGAACCAAGCCCGACUCUGAGACGAGAACCAAGCCCGGCUCCAAGACGAGAACCAAGCCCGGCUCCGAGACGAGACCGUAGCCCGGCUCCGAGACGAGACCGUAGCCUGGCUCCAAGACGAGAACCAAGUCCAACUCCAAGACGAGACCGUAGCCCAGUUCCAAGACGAGAACCUAGCCCGGCUCUGAGAAAAGAAUCUAGCCCAACUACUAGACGAGAUCCUAGUCCAGCUCCAAAAGCUGUACCUAAGCCUGAACCUAAGGUUGUGUCUAAAGCAGAGCCCAAAGCUAUUGCCAAACCAAUUGCUAUGCCUGCACCCAAAGUAGACCCCAAAGCUGAGCUGAGACAGCGGGCUCUAAUGAAAUCCCCUGAUGAAGUGAUUGCAGUGACAGCACCAGAAGAGGGGCCAAAUACAAUUAUGAUCUGCAUGGUCAUUCUGCUCAAUAUCGGUCUGGCCAUUGUUUUUGUUCACAUCCUGUCCUGAUGGAAAGAUGUCCAAGAAUCUGUCAAGAACCUUGCCUCAGGUUUCCCCUGUAAGAAUAAUGCUGUCCAAACAGCAUUAAUCGAUGACCAAGAGAAUUCAUUUCACCUUAAAGAGCAGAUUUUUUGUUUCUUCAAACCAAGAACAUCCAUAUUGAAUAACGAAGAGGAGACAUGAGUUGUGAUGGAUGCCACAUGCUCCCCUUGAGGCUUCACUGAUGUGAUACAGUCUCAAAAAAGCUCUCUCGAGCCACCUGAAGGACAGUUACUGUGUGUAGUUGGAUUGGAGGAUGACAUCCAGUGAAAGUUUGUGUCUAAAUGCUAGAGAGAGUUUUGCUCUCACAUGAUGGAAAGUGUUUAUCUGUAUUAUGCUGCUUUAAAGAACAAUUAUUUCCAACUUCACAGUGCCAUUUACUUCUUAAAAGGGAAAAUAUAUUUUAUGCAAAUUAAGUAUUGAUGUCAAGAUUACCAGUUUACCACUGAUUAUCAACCAAAUCCAUGGUUUCUGAUCAUGUGAAUUUGAAGAAGGAAAAAGAUCUUGCUUGUUACCAUCUGACAAAUGUUUUGAAACUGCUUUAUUAGUGUGCAAUAAUGCACACUCAAGAUGUCUUAAAGUCUCACAAGGUCUUUUCCUUUGGUUUUUAAUGCAGUCUUCUAACGAAUACAUGAGACAAACUUUUUUCAAACCUCGUGGUAAAAAAAAAGGAUUCUGAAAGAAAUCUUUGCCUUUUUUCAGUUCACAUGAGAAAGAUGGGACAGUUGCAUUUCACAUGGUUUUGUCUGAUGUUCCUGAGAAAGUUUCUUUCUCAAUGUAACAUCCCACUUCCAUUUAGUGUCUGAAGUAUUAUGACCAUUAGCAAAAACAAAAAAUUGUUUAGCUCAAGACACAUUGUACUGUGAAAAUGUUUGUGCUUGCAAAUGUAAUUUUUAGAAGUACCAUUUGCAGAAACUAGUGGUUGAGUACACAACCAAAACAGGUUUUGUAUGCAUGUUAAGGGUUUUUCUACCUUUCUAAAAUUGUGAUAUUACAUUACAGCAACAUGUGCAUUUGCAAAUACUGAAGAAUCACCUCACAACAAAGGUGUGGCCCAUCUAUAAAGGGCCAGUGUGGCUGCAGGUUUUCAUUUCCAGCCAAUCAGGAUCUACACCCGAUUCAACUUGUUAAAUCAGUUGAUCAUGGUCUUUAAGUAGGUGUGGCUCUGCUUGGUUGGUAUUAAAACCAGCACAAUUGGAUGUCCCUGCCUUAAAAUAUUGCAAAGAUUUUUUAGAUUAAUACCCCACUAUUAGAAAAGUAAUCAAUACCCUCAGACUUUGCACUGAAGAAUUUGUUUGCAAUCAAACUCUAGGGCUUACAGCAGACUGUCGUUAAACACCCUGAUUAUCACCCAAGUAUUUUAUUGAUAUUUUAUUUGGCUAUAAACAGUAGUUAUAGAUCAUAGUCUUCGUCUAGCUUUUUGACCCAUUACCGAAGGGUAUGAAGAGAAAUCAGUGAGCUACAUGUAAAUGCUCUCAAACGGCAUUCAUCCAUUUAUGGCUUGUAACUGUUUGCACUGGAGUGAUUUGUGAUCAGUGUUUUACAAAUGCAACUUUGCCAAUGUAUUUUUCCCUCAUGAGAGUGCGCCACGCGCAACAGUUCAUGUUACAAAUGAGAGAUUUAUUCAUUAGGUGUGUUUUCAUAAGAAUGCUUUAAAUCAUGCUUUCACUGGCUGAAUAAUGCACAUUCAAAAUCCUGAGAAUCCAGAAGCCUUCCAAAAUAUUCAUCCCAUAUAGAUGAUUUAACCAACACAUACCUGUGUUUGCACUGUUGAAAGGAAUUAAGUCAUGGCACUCGGAGACAAGUACAAAUGUAUUGUGUUGAGCAGUACCACUGAAUACAAAUA
Neoarius graeffei (lesser salmon catfish) is the source of this 4872-nucleotide RNA transcript. It is a transcript of the gene named junctophilin 2, with no coding region annotated. NCBI's taxonomy places the organism in Eukaryota, Metazoa, Chordata, Actinopteri, Siluriformes, Ariidae. The transcript is spliced from 7 exons. The record is from RefSeq and is a predicted model, not a curated record.